GACCGCUGUGCAUUCUGCACAGCCGAGGCCACACGGACAGCCGGGUCGAAUGCCGA
This 56-nucleotide small RNA is filed under the name human gut metagenome. RNAcentral's name for it is "Streptococcus sRNA SpF59 (ldcC RNA)". It matches the Rfam family "Streptococcus sRNA SpF59 (ldcC RNA)". The record is from RNAcentral.